Molecule: long non-coding RNA, 758 nt
Organism: Harmonia axyridis
Lineage: Eukaryota; Metazoa; Arthropoda; Insecta; Coleoptera; Coccinellidae
Exons: 4
Source: RefSeq, a predicted model, not a curated record
CGCAAAUCUGCAGUUGAAAUAGUAGAAGACCAACCAUGAACAUCUGGAAAUAGGUUAUGGAGAGAAACAUUACACUGAUAAUAAGGACUUAUGAUUGGCUGACAGGAAGGAUGAGCUAUAAUAUUUGCUGAUCUAAAAAUCAGUAAGAUUUUUGAAAUCACUUCAUGUAAGGAGGAUAGAGAUAUAUCUACCCUUCAUAACUUCACGGGACCAGUUGCGGCUCAGAAGAAGCUUCCGCAGAUUCUGGAUUCAUCUCUAUGGGAUAAAUAAUUCAUUGCCAAUAAAUUUAACGUUUAAUGUUUUUAUCCCCAAAUAUUCCAAUAAUUUCAUAUAAAUGGAGGAUUCAUUGGAAUGAAAAAGAAUAGAUUUUAAACUUACUACAAUGAGAUGAUAACAGAAUCUUUUGCAUCCAAUGUUGAAAAAGCAUUAUUAUUGACUUCUUCUUCAAAUGGUUCAUAAUCUAAACAAAAUUCAUCUUCAUCGAGAGCCAACUGAUUCCUUUCUGGGAAAGUAGCUGAAAAUCAUUAAUCUCAAUAUAUAUUAUAUAGAAAAUGAAAUACAUUCAUUGCAAUUAUCAACUGUAUCGCACCUAUAUUUGGAUUAUCUGAUCGUUGCUUAUUGAUGAAUUCUGGAACAUACUUUAAAUUAUACGAAUCUUCUGAUUUAAUAUCAGUUUCUUCUAUUAUGUCAUUCCUAACAGCAUUACAAUUUUUCAAAUUUACGUUAUUAUUAAAUUUACAUGAUACCCCACUGUCUCU